GUGAAACUUAUAAAGGGUGUCCCAAUCGAGAGCUUCUCACAUUACAUCGCUAAAGCCUCUUAGGUUUGGAGCAUCAGGUUUUCAAUAAACUAAAGCAUGGACAACUUUAGUGCUGACAACCUUUUAAAACUCUUCACUCAAUAUGCUAUAAAAGAAGGUAGUUCUAGUUUUCUUUCAACUGCAGGACUUCAAAGUUUGCUUCGGGAUAACUUCACAAACUUUUUGAGUUCAAUGUCUUUCAAUGACAUUGUCAAAUAUGCAGACAUAGAUAAAGAUGGAAAAAUCAACUUUAAUGAUUUUAAGUCACUGAUGAGCAAGUUAAGUAGCUUGGUUGGAUUAUCUACUUUGACUGGACUAACCGGGUUUGGAUCAUAAACCAUCCUAUGAAGAGGACGAAGACAAAGAAAACAUGUGAGAUUCCAAAUCUACCCAAUUAUGGACUCUGAAAAUGGUUGUGUUUCUACAAACCAUCUCUGUGAAAAGAUGGGUGACAGUCAAUAAAUAUCAAUUUUGAUUUAAAAUAAUUCAUAUAUGAUGACUGGUAAAAUGAAUAAAUAUUUUUUCCAGGUAAUUUAAGAGUGAAUUUAAAAUAUUUACAGAAAUUUAUCUUAUUGGAGGAAUUCCAUGUAUCUUUACAUUAUGUAUUAUAUGUUAUUUCCAAAUGAGACUUUUAAGCAGCUUAUGGGUAGCUGAGGUCUGAUGUGGCAGAAUAGCUAAGUGUCUGUG
Sceloporus undulatus (fence lizard) is the source of this 726-nucleotide long non-coding RNA. RefSeq lists it as uncharacterized. The transcript has 3 exons. NCBI's taxonomy places the organism in Eukaryota, Metazoa, Chordata, Lepidosauria, Squamata, Phrynosomatidae. The record is from RefSeq and is a predicted model, not a curated record.